Long non-coding RNA from Lampris incognitus (smalleye Pacific opah), 1744 nucleotides. RefSeq lists it as uncharacterized. The record is from RefSeq and is a predicted model, not a curated record. NCBI's taxonomy places the organism in Eukaryota, Metazoa, Chordata, Actinopteri, Lampriformes, Lampridae. The transcript has 3 exons.
UGAAGCAACAGUCACCCGCAAGGAGGAAUGUAAGAGAAAACAGCCCCGUUGGCAAACAGCAGCACAAUAAUAAUAAGACAACUAUGCAAACAACAGCGGGGGUCAUUUCCGAGCAGAGGGCAACAACCUGACAGCCGCACUGGAGAGAGAAAACAGAACGGCGAGAGAGACGCCGAGGAAAGAGAGAGAUUGUGCGGGGACGUAAAGAGCAACAUCUGGAAAGGUUCGCUCCAUGACUGCCUUGUAACUUGGCGCACAAAAAAUUUUUAAAAAAACAAGUACAAGGGGGAGUCGAGGCUGUGGAAAGAAGACAGAAGUGUGGUGCUCUCUCUCUCUUUCUCUCUCUCUCUCUCUCUCUCUCAGUACCUUAGUACCACCGCCACCUGAGAAAUAAUCCUUUCUAACCCUAAUCUCGACCUAGCUCCCAGGCUCGGGGAGGGCGAGGGAGCACCGCCUCUGUCUGGAGCGGGGCAGGCUAAAGACAACAGAUGCACAGUCGCACACGCUCUCGCAGAAGGGAACUCUCGGGCUCGCACACCCCAGAGCUGUUGCUCCUGCCUCCCCAGGAUGGACGCCAGAGAGGAGACGCUGGGACUUCUGAACAAGAUCUGGACCAAGCUGCAGGCCCUGCCUAACGCUAGCCCUCUGGAGCUGGGGGCAUUCUUCAUUCUUUUGACCUUCAUCUUGGUUGUUGUGCUCAUGAUGGUGCUGACUUGUGUGACCUGUUGCUGCCGGAGCACAGGAACCAAAGGGCCCCAGAUCUGAGCAGGUGUGCCCUUUCACACAAGGGGAAGAAAUGUUUUGAAAGGCGAUCUCUGGAACGCUUAACCCUCAAACAAACAAAAAACCGGGUCUGUGCAGAAUCCAGACAGGCUAAAAUAUGAGACAACUCUUUAUACACAACAGCAGCCAUUCUCUCCAACUCUGACUCUGAAUUCACUGAGCAACGAGGGCUCAUAUAGAGAAUGUGAAGUGGUCAUAGCAGAGGCCAGCUUUUAAACACCACAGUUCCUGACCAACAUGACGGAGGAUGCCCCGAAAGGCUGCCGAACACUCCCGCCAAGGCGUCCAGGUUUUCAGGAGUAUCGACAUUCCACGGAGCAUCCCUGGGCUCUUCAGGUCGACAAUGCUGCCUUUGACCUGAGAAAAGGGGAGGGCCCCGACACGGCAUCCCUAGACUGUCUCGAGAAGGGCAGUCAGAUGCAUGGAAUAUCAACAAUAAGACGAGCGCGGCAUUUCUAAGCCAACGUGUAGGAAGACGCCAGCCGGUACGUACGCAGGGAAACGUAAGAGUCGAGACGGUUGUUUUUUCCAACUUUGCUUGUCUAAACCGCGGCUCUCGCUACAUUCUUAAGAGAUGACUACUCAAGUCAGACUGCGUGCAAAUUCCCAACGGAGCAUUGCUUGCCACUGCCAAACCUUAAUAUGUUCCCUGAAAAUCAACACAACAAAUAAAGAGGAAGGGAUCGAGUCUGCCCUCUGCUGUCAAACACAAGAAUUACAACCUGAUAAUCUGAUAAAACAUGGUGUAUAUGUUAUAACGAUUUUUAAUAUAAAGAGCUAUAUAUAUUUUCUAUAUACAAGAAAGAGGUAAACAAUGGGUCAUUUUUAUAUAAAUUAUAUUUCCUGAAUGAUAGAAAACGGUGACGUAUGACUAUGUUUUCUGAAUGGAAUUAAUGACUAGCUCCAGCCUAUAGUGUAUGCUACAUGUCUGAGUUGUUAUCGAAUAAAAAGAAAAGUUAGU